GUUCCCCGGCUCUCGGGGGAGGCCGGGCCCGGGCCCCAAGCGGGAAACAGCGGCCCCCUCGGCCUAAAAAACAGGGCCCACUGAAGCCCCUCAUGGGGCGGAGCGAACCCAAAGGGGCGCUGCCGCUCCUGCCGGGCCUGCCUGUACCGGUGGCGCCCUCAGGCGGGGCCAGGGCCGGGCCUCCAAGAAGGCGGCAGCCGCGCCGGCAGGAAGGGCCCCUGGGUCAACUGGCGAGGAGGGAGCCGGAGGGGGCGCUGCCCGCCCUCGACCUGCCCCCUCCCGCCCCGGAGGCCCCUCCUCGCCAGGAUCCCGACAACAUCUGGGUCCCCCAGGGGCGCCUCCUGCCUGACAUCCGGCUGCCCUUCCCCGCGCCUCCCCCGCCCUGGGCGCCGCUCAACAUGCUCGCCAGGAGAUACGGGUGAAUGGAUCAUAGAAUCCCGAAAACAUCGAAAGCCCCGCUUUUAUUUUCAUAGGGCUGAUGGCCUUGGAGGAAGGAGAUGCUGAUAACUUAAAACGCCGUGUAGUGGAACUACUGCUUCAGAACCCCCAAGGCAUCAGGUUUGAGAAUUUUUCUGGGGCCUUCCAUCAGCUGCAUGGUUACUACCCUCGUAUCGCUCUUCAGGGAUAUCAUACGCUCAAGGAAUUAGUGGCUGAUAUGAAGAAUGCUGUGGUUGUGGAAAGGCGUUCACGGCAACAAGUUUUGAAGAUUGCAAAGGGCUUCCGUCUUGACUGUUGGUUGGAAGGAGAAAAAGGGAAUGGAUUGGAAACAUCAGAAAGAGAAGUGGAGAACCUGCGAGAUGAAGACCAAGUUGGAGGAGAAACAACUCUUGCAGACAUCUUGGAUUUGCUCAUCAGCCUCCUAACGGAGUACAAAUCGGGACUGAGAAUUAGCUAUAUCCAGAAAUUCAUGCUAUCCAAGCAUGCAGUGGACAUGGAAAAGUUCAGCAUUGCCCAAGGCUACAAGAACAUCAUGGAAUUCUUGGGACAUGAACUGCCAGAGCUAAUAGUCAGAUAUCAAGAGAAAACCUGUGAAUAUGUUGUACAGAUUCCUGAAGGUCUCUUUGCCUCAGAUCUGUCUGUGGAGUCAGAUUUCUCUACAUGGAGCUCACCAUCCUCGACCCAGGAUCUAACAAGAACAAACUCUGCUAGCUCUUUGUAUUACACAUGCAAAAGUGACCCAAACCAUGUGAAGCAACCUACAAAAUAUGUCCCAGAUCUGCCGGCUGCUUCAAAGCUAAUUCGGGAUGUGCUCAAGAGUUUUCCUUGUGGUAUCAAAGUAUGUUCGCUAAAAAGGGUCCUCAGAAAGAGAUGCGGAUUUGACUUGGAGGCAUUCCGCACACAGCACGGAUACCAAGAUGUGUUGUCCUGCUUGAAGGAUAUCCCUGACCUGUUUCUGCUAAACACGAAUAGGCAUCGGAAUUGUCUCGUCCGCCUUCAGCCAUGUCCCUUUGGUUCAGAUCUGUCUCUGGACUCAGAUUUCUCUGGAUAUAGCUCUCACUCCGAACCCGACGGUCUAACAAGAACGAAUUCCGCUGUCUCUCUACCUUCUACCAGUGUGAGUGUGCCGAACCAUGCGAAGGAACCAACAAACCAGGCCCUAGCAUUACCAGAAGUUUUGUCUUUAGUCAGUGACCUACUCACCAAGUACAAAGACGGUCUGAGAAUUAAGAAAAUUCAAGAUUUCCUGAUGGCCACAAACAGCAUUGACCUUGAGAAAUUCAGCAUCAUGCAAGGCUACAAAGGCUCAGUGGAAUUUUUGCAGCGUCAAAUGCCUUAUUUAUCCUACAUGAAACGAAACCAAAGACUCAACAGUGUUUUUAAACUGGGUAUAAAGGCAAAAAAGAAGCAGCCUCAAAAACAUCCCCAAACUGGAACAACCAAAAAGAAUCCUUCUGUUGCUUCUGUUCCCCCUUUGAUGAAUGCCCCUGUGCUGCAGUCAACAAAACCACUGGAGCCAGUUUGUUCCGAAUCAGGCUUUGGAAGUGUCUCUAAGUCUUCCGUUACAGCCCAUGAUUUUACUGCAAGCAAAUCUCAGUCCCAGAGCCUGCCUUUACAAGCUCCUUCCACACCACACCAAGUCAAGAAUACGAUCCAUUCCAGCAUGCGUAUCCCACUUCCAUCUUUUCAUGAGGUCCAUAAUGCAUCACCAGCCAAGCCUAACAAUUCAGGCCAGUCUAUUUCCAAUGGUCCACACCAGAAGCCAAAUGUAUGCCUGUGUGGACCACCACCCAUGGAAGAGGUAUCUUGUCAGUUGGAUAGGCAACCGUCUAACAAAUCCAAAAUGACUAAAGAUGAACCUUCACAGGACCAGGAUGAUUUGAAGCAGCAAGUAGCUCACAUCCUGGCCUUGCAUCCAGAAGGCAUGUCACUUUUCCAGUUCCGUGCAGCCUAUAGUGCCACCUAUCAGCAGCACUUCCCAAUGGACAACACUGCUUCUGUCAAACAACGUUUGCAGGAAAUGCCGGAUGUUGUUAGUAUGAAAAGCUAUGGAGUCCAAACAAGGCUGCUAUCUGUAUCCCGUGCAAUGCCAUCUUUAAAAUCUGGUCAGCCUGUCUCUGCCACAAUGGAAAAAGCUUCAGUUGUCCCUGGUCUCUCACAGCCCAGAACAGUGUCACUGACUCAAGAGAAUUCUGAAGAACUUGGAGGAGAUGACAGCAAGGAGGAUUACCCAGUCCUUGAUUCUUUGCUCCACCAAGUAGUUAAACCAAGAGGUUGUGUGCAAGAGAAUGUGAAGAAGAAGCCCAGGCCAAUGGGAGCUCCGGUCAUUCCUCAGCCCCCUGUAGUCUGUCAUACAUAUGCCCAAGUCACAGCUUCACGUAAACCUUUGAAACCAAAUAGUCUUCAUAUGAAGCCCACACAACUUAAUAGCCCUUGUAUUUCUGCCAACAAUGCCUCAGUGCCUUCCACCUCUCAUUCUGCCUCUUACAACUCUGGAACAUGGGCGCAGCCGGUGAGCUAUCCAUUUGUGCCGUUGGUUUCCCAGAUGCCAGAGAUUUCCCCUGUCAAGCCCGCCUAUAUCAAAGUUUCUAGAUAUCCUUCCGGGAUCCAGUUUAAGAACCCUACAGUUCAGAGCUCUCCUUUUGCUCAGCCACCCCAUGUGCUCCCAAUUAGAUAUGAUCCGACAAUGCAUCUCACCGAAAGCACAGAACAAUGGAGCAACAUUUGUACUCUCCCACAAGUGGAUGCCUAUUCUCCAGUGAAGACAUCAUCCAACACCCAGCAGCUUGCCCAAAACCCUACAUCCUCAACAAGGAGAUAUCCCAUAUCUCCAUCUUCUAGAAACAUCUCCCAGACUGUCCAGCAGCUAGAAUCUUAUAACCAUACACAGCAGGAUGGUGUGCAGCUUGGAUCAGUUGUGGUAGUAAGGAAUAAAAGCUUCAUAGUAACAUCUCUGGACACACAGCCUAAGCCUCCAGCAUCUGCUUAUCAGAGACAAUACGUUGAUUGGAAUCCUCUGGUAUCUACUACAAACAGAGCGCCGUUCAUUUCACAUGGUGCUUGCUCCACUAGUCAGCUCUUCCAGCCCUUGGAAACUUCCUCUAGUAGGAAAAGGAAUCCUAAUUCUCUGCUUUUUGAACCUCCAAUUUUUGUGGAUCAACCACAACCUGUUAGUGCAAGUGCUACCAUAACCACCUCAUCGUACUCACCACCUUCACUUGUAGAUGCUACUGUAAGCCCAUAUUCCAACCACUUAUCUGUUUGUAAUAAUUCUGCUAGUCAACCUUCAAAGCCUCGAGCUUCCAUUCAACAGCAACAAUAUACUAGCCUGAAUACCUCUGUAAUCAACUCCAGCGGGAAACAAGCAGGUUCAUUGCCUUGCCCUCAAGACCUCACUAUCAGACGAUCCCGCCAACUUUCCAUAACACCUUUAAGUGUUUGUACAGAUAAUGAGCCUCCUGUCCAAACUAAGCCUGUGGUUUCUUUUUCCAAACAUGCUGACGAUCAUCAUGUUUCUUUGCCAAAAAACCAGACAUCUUAUUCUCCCCCAAAUAGCCCUCUUAAAAAACUGGAUAGUUGUGUUAUCCUGUAA
Molecule: long non-coding RNA, 4030 nt
Filed under: Anolis carolinensis (green anole)
Lineage: Eukaryota; Metazoa; Chordata; Lepidosauria; Squamata; Anolidae
Description: lncRNA (ENSACAG00000043529.1)
Source: RNAcentral